Molecule: long non-coding RNA, 2862 nt
Organism: Pseudophryne corroboree (corroboree frog)
Lineage: Eukaryota; Metazoa; Chordata; Amphibia; Anura; Myobatrachidae
Exons: 2
Source: RefSeq, a predicted model, not a curated record
CCCGGAAGAAAGAUCCGCACAGCAGUUCAUUUUUCAAUUAAGACGGGUAUAAAAGGCCCAGGACCGUGACAGCCUGUUAUCCAUUGCUUGAAAAAGGUCUAUGGUGUGACCAAAACGCGUAGCUGAUUGGAUGACCAGCUGUGAGGACUUACCAAUUUCCAGUGACCACGUGCUGAAUACCACUCUGUGCAGUGGUGCCAGGCUUUUCAGCCUGGAACCAACAUCUGCUUAUUGAGCAAAGCCCACCACACCUCCCAUAUUGGACACCUAUCAUUCCCAGAACCCUAGAACUGAGUCCCUCUACAAGCCUCUCCACCCUUCCAGCUGAAGAAACAGCACCCAAAAAAGCAGCAAGCCCAGGGCAAGGACCCUCAAUUAAAACAGGCAAGGGAUGCUUUAUCGAAACCACUGGAUGACAGUCACUCAUUUUGAACACUUGGAAAUGUGCAUCGAGCCAUUGACACUGAACAGAUUGUUAUUUUGAACGAUUAACAUCCGAGCUCAUUUUUAAAGGGAGCAACUGUCUCCUAACCAUAGAGAUGAACAUAACAUCCAGCCGCAUUGUUCCUCCUCCUGCUCCACUCUCCACCCCACCACCCCCUACUAUUCCCCCCAAACAUACUUUACACAAACACCCGACUACCCCCCUCCCUCCAACCAGCUCCCCAAUCAGUGCCCUCCUACCAACUCGCUCCCCCACACACCUUUUACCAACCUGCUCCCCCACCAACUGCCUCCUACCAACCUGCUCCAACACCCACCUAUUCCUACCAACCUGGUCUCCAAACAACCUCCUCAUAACAACGUGCUCAAACGCCCACAUCCUCCUACCAACCUGGUUUCCAAAUAACUGCCUCCUACCAAUCAUCUCCCCAACCAGCCUCCUCCAACCAACCUGCUGUACCACCCACCUCAUCCAACCAACCUGCUGCACCACCCACCUCCUCCAACCAACCUGCUACUCCACCGCCCAACUCCACCAACCAACCUGCUCCACUACCCUCACACCCCACUGUUUUUUUCUGGUCUUCUGGAAUCUGAGGACAGUCUGUAAUUGUUUGCACUGUGAUAUGUCCCCUUCCCCCCCAGUCGUCUGAAAGGAUCCUAAUCCUUUAUAAGUAUAGGGCUGUCUGCUGCAUGGUACUUUUUGGCACAGAUUCAAGCCAAACACAUGCUGCAAGUGCACCUCAAUGGGGCCUGGACCAUUGCGGUUGCACCUGCAGCAUGUGUUUUGGUUGUCUACCCUGAAAUCUGUGCCAAAAACCACUGAACAGCUUACCGUCCCAUAUUAAUCAGGGAUUGGGAUACUUGUACAUGCCUUUUGUAAACCAAACGAAACCAAGUAUGUGCCAGGCUGACAUUGUGUCCUCCUAGUCAACUACAAGGAUUCUAUUCGCUGAAAGGUAUACUGCUGUCUGCUGCUUGGUGUUGUUGGCACUGAUUCAGGAAGGGCAUGCUGCAGGUGCUGGUCAGUGGAGCCGAGGCCGUUGAGAAGGCACCUGAAGCAUGCGUAUCAUAGUCCACCUGAAAUCUGUGCCAACACACAGAGCAGCCGACCACAGCAUAUUUAUCAGGGAUUGGGAUACUUGUGCAUACUUUUUUACAAACCAUUUUUGAAUUCCAAAUAUGUGCCAUGUUGGCAGUUUAACCUAUUUUUACAUUUUAAUAGUACUGGCUAGCAUUUUAUAUAGCAAUAUAUAUCUUUAUAUUUAUACACACUUUUAGGCAGCCGUGCUACCCACAAACUUAAGAAAAAUAAAAUUUACCAAAAUGUUUUGCACUGAGGUUUUAAAAAAAGUUUUAAAUAAAACAUUUGUCAUGUUUCACUUUAACCACUUAACUGACGAUUUUUUUCCUCCCAAAACGCUCAGAAAUAAUUUUUUUUAAAUGAGUGAAUUAGGUGAAGAACAUGAAUUUAACAGUAUCCAAAAUGAUUUCAGUAAAAAAAUAAAAAUAAUAAUAAUAAUAAUAAUAAUAAUAAUAAUUUUUCUCAAACAUUGGAACAUCGGUCGGGAAGAUCAGAGAGCAGCAGCUGCUAACACUCUUUAUCUGACUGGUCGCAUCCUGUGCGACCAGGUCAGAUAAAACACUUGCUGGUAUGGUCAGAUCUGAUGCGACCAUGCCAGGCAAGUGGUUAAACAUGGUGUGGUAUGUUUUUUUUUAACUUACCUUACAAUAACGGAACUGCAGCACCUUGACAAUAGCCUUGGAGGUCUCAAGGAUAAUGCGCCCCAAAGCUUGAAAGCUUGAGUGGAGAUGCGGGUCCCAAACUUGAGGUCUUCAUAUGACAAUCCCAUAGCCAGGUAACGCAGCAUAGCCAUGAGCCUCUCCUCAGCAGGGAUCGCCCUCCAGAACUUGGUGUCCUGCCUCUGGCUAUAGGGGGUCACCAGAUGCAGCAACUCCUGGAAGGUGGCUUUAUCCAAUCGCAGGAAGUUGCGGUAGUCCUCUGGGUUAUUCUCCAUAAUUUCCAGUAGCAGGGGCAUGUAGAAAUUACUUUCACUUUCCAGCAACCAAUCCUUGGUCCAGCAGGACCUCUCCCUUCUCUUCCUAUGCUGGACAUCGUAUGUGCAUCUUGUGUCCAAAAAACACCAAAUUGUAUUGUCCAGGAGAUGCCAGGAGGUUGAAGGGAAAUUGUGUUAUGAACCGCAUCGGAUGAGGGUCGUCCUGAUGUUUGGCCAGCAUAAAAUUUCACAUUCCUGUCAAAUAAACUUUCUGUAUUACAUCAGUGGAUCCCAAACUUUUUUGAAUCAUGAUACCCUAGAUUAUCAGAAUCCUUUUCCUGGCACCCCUAGGCCAAAUGUUUGUUACAGAGAAAUUUAGAAUAAAAAAUGUAAAUGAAUUGUUGUGUUUAUGUCACUCUUA